CUGCUGCUGCUGCUCUCGCAGCGCUGUCGCUGCCUCUGCCUUGAAUGCCUGUGUGUGUGCGUGUAUUUUCGUCGCGUAACUAUUCGCUGCAAACGAAGCUUUGGUGAGACAUUUGUUUCAGUACGUCACCGACAGCGCCAACGUCAAGAAGGAGGAGGCGGUGAACUGCUUGCUCUGCCUGGGCGCGGCGGCUUACACUGUGUGGCUGUGUGCUUGCUUCAUUUUGGGCUCUUCUCCUUCUGGUCUCUGGAUGGCGACAACGACGACAACGACGACGACGGCGGCAACGAGCAGCAGCGACAGCAACGGCGGCGGCAUCAAAGUGAAUUUCAAUUAAAACUGUGCAAAGGUGUUGGUGUUUGGCCUGUGUCUGUUUCUCCGUCCUAUAUGUGUGUGUGCGUGUGUGUUCGAGUGUCUGCAUCUGUCUGUGUGCAUGUUUGUGUGUGUGCCUUGCUGUGUGUCGCCAUUUAACUAAUUAUUAAUUAUAUUGCUAAACAAACAUAAAAAAGCGACAAAAAGAAACUUGAACCCAAUUUCAACUCGAUCAAGCUAAACACAAAAUAAAAAAAAAAACCAAAAACAAAAAAAAAAAAUUGCAAAUUUGCGACGCAGUUUUAAAGGCCAUAACGUAGCGUAACGUAUAAAAUAACGUAACGUAACUGCUUAAACGACAACAACAAUAAAAAUAACAAGAAGCAGCGGAAGAAGAAGAAUUAAAAACAAACUAGCGCGCGACUUUUGAGCUUCGCAACUGAAUAAUUAAAAUUAGAAGCGAAAAGUAAAUACAAAGAAUAAAAUAAAAUACAAGCCAAAAGCAACAAUAAAAAAAAAACUUAAAUAAAGAAAUGAAAUGUAUACACACACAUACAAACACACACAGUUACAAACUCGUAUGGAUUUGUAUAAAAAAAAAUGGCGCACAAGGCAACAGUAAACUUAUACAAUCAAAAUUAAAAUGUUUGCAUGUAUUGCAAAAAUGUAUAAAACACAAAAAAAAAGAAGCAAAAACAAGAAGAGCAAGUGAACUUUGUACUAAAUGGCCCACAAGUGACAAGCGAUGAUGAUCAAAGCUGAUGAUGAUGAUCAACAUAUCGAUAAACGACAAUCGAGAAACUAAACCGCCCACAACUCGAUUGAAGUUGAAGUUUGCAGCUUAGCUGUGAUAAGAGAACGAUGCCACUUUUGGCUUUGGCGGCGUGCAUUGAACCAAUUUCGUAGUUGCUCGUAGUUGCCUCAUUUUUUAUAAUACCUCUGUAUAUUUAUUUAAAGCGCAAAUGUUCAGAUACGACACAAAUGUCGCCGCCAGCCCAGCAACAACAACAACGACAACAACAAAGUCAACUACAUCAGCAACAACAGCUACAAAAACAACGACAAACAGAGACCAAACAACAACUAAGGCAAACUUGCCUAUCUGCCUGUUGCUUCUGCUGCUGUCGCUGUCGCUGCCUCUGCCGCCGCUGUCGUCGCCGUCGACGUUUCGUUCGGUUGAGUUAGUGCGUGUGCUGAGCAUUUAGUAAACUGGCACACACCAAUACUAAAGCACUCUCACACACAGAAUACUCCACUCAGUCACACACAAACACACAUACUUGUAGAAUAGCCCUGAGUAUGUGUGCGUCGCUGCUUAUAUAAUCAACAUCGACAUCGCCGUCGCCAUCGCCAUCAGCAGUCUGCCUAAUGGCUUUGUUUUUGUUUUACAGGCCAAGUGACAAGCGUUAACUACAACUCUUCGACCGCCCCCUGCCACCUUCCCCCGCUCUGUUUACCAGGUGCAGCCGCAUGGUCGUUGCUUGAGCUGCGCGCGGACCGUUUUUGUUAUGCCUUCGACAUUUUUUGCCGUUUUGUGUGAGAACGGAUGUAACAACAGCGAUAAAUAUGAGUACAACGAACAAAAAAAAAAUGUAUACAGUGUGAAAAGUAAAUAUUGAAAAUGCAAACUUGACACUAAGAAACGUUGCGAAAGGAAAAAAAGUUAUUUAAAAAGCAAAGAAAUUAAGUAAAAAAAAAUACCAAAGGCUCAGUCAGGAGCAGCGCAAAAACGGAGCAGACAGCAAUCAUUCACACACAAGCAAACAGACAGUGCAUACACACAACAUUACAUACAUAUGAAACUUGUGCGACCGCAUUCCAGAAAGUUCAAAUAACGAUUGGUUGGAAGAGGAGUUGGAAAGGGGACAAGGCGGAGGAGCCGCACAGCAUAAGCAGCGUGGAAAAAUUAAUGUUAAAGAACUCUCUUACUCAAUGUGUAUGUGUGUGUGUGCGAGGCUUGAAACUUUGCCUGUGCAUGUGUGUAUUUAUGUAGCCUGGAAUGCGGUUCCGUUCAACAACUCUACGCGAAGAACUAAGCCAAAUAGAACUUGCGCUUCACAAAAAAAGUGAGUAAUAAAAAAAUGUGGUGUCCAGAAACUGGUUUUGAUGUUGGCCAAGACUUUGUGUCGUCUGCAUGGAGGGGCAACGGCAUCGGCAUCCAAUCCAUCCAUCCAUUGACAUCUAAGGAGUUUCUUUGAUUCUAACCUCGAAGUCUGCAGCAGCAGCACAUGGGCAAAGAGAGCGCAAGACUUGUGGAAUUUGCCAGCAGCAGUCAAUGCGCUCUCACGCACAGAUACAUGCAAGUAUACACACACACACACACACAUAUAGACACUGUGAGUUACAAGAGUCGAAGACAAAAGCUCGGCUUCGUCUUUGGAGACGAAGUAAAAUAUUUAUUGGCUGAAAUUGGAUGCUGCGCGUCGUCGCUUUGACUGUAUGUGUGAGUGAGUUAGUGUAUGUGUAUAGCGUCUAUUUAGAAAUUCAAAUUGAAAUAUUUGAAGCAUGAGUCAUGCAAGACGACGACGACAUCGAGCGUGGGUCUUGAGCCUAACUUAACUCGAGCGUUAUUCAUAGUGCAACUUUAGCUGUGUGCGGUGGACAUAUUUCUCAGCAGCAGCAAUCAAGAAAUAAAUAUAGUUUUAUGAUCACAAUUGAUUUAUACAUGUUACAAAGUUAUUAAAGAUCAAGACUCGAUUAGCUGUAAAUUAAGUGCAUAUUACAGUAUUUUUGUAACUUGCAGUUGCAAUGUAAAACAAAGGGUAAGGCAAGGAGAUUGGGAAAGAAAGGGGGUUACCUCGUGUGCCUAUCAUAAUUGCAAUCGCUGGACUUAAGAAGUUGCAUCAACAGCAGAAAAUGGCAAAACGAAGAAAAGUCAACCACCAGCAUAGAAUGCGGGCUGGCAGAAAAAAAAAAAAAAAACAAAAGCAACAUCAAGAACCAACAAGUAAGCAAUGUCCGAAUAUGAUCGACUGUAAAAUACCCGUUAACGAAAAUACUUUUUGCGAAAUUGAAACAUUAUUUGCACUUGAUUUUCUACUCACUAAAAUUAUAACUGAAUGAUUUACUUAAUUAUCCGUUCGUUAACUAUUUAUAUUUGGAAUAUACAUAUUUCUAUCAACAAUUUGAAGUAUAAAUACCCUUUUCCAACGUAUUGUGUAACGGGUACAAAAAUGAAGAACACAAGCAGCAGGCAAGCAUAACCAGAAUUUUACAAGAACAACAACAGCAACGGACGAGCGAAAAAAGCUAGAAGGCAUGAGAAGCAAAAGCAGGCAGACAGGGACAGGGACAGUGACGCCAAAGUCCAAAGUGGACAGAAAAACAAAAAGGGUAAAAAAGGGAGCGCAAAUGUGCUCUCCUUCUCUCACACACGCACACAUGCAUCGUUGGUCUAACGGACAGCGGCAAAAUGAUCCCUUGUUGAUGUAGUUCUUGUUCUUGUGUAGUUGUUGUUGCUGUUUUCUUGUUUCUUUUUGCGAAAAGCGAAAAAAAGGCGACAGUAAAACGUUGGCGGUGGUCGAGUGCAGCAGCAGCAGCAACGAAGAACGAGUUGAGCUUGCGGAAUGCUGUUAUCGUUUUGGUGGUUUAUCGAAAUCGCUAAGCUCUAUCGAUUGACAGACAGAGUUGUUGGCAAAGAGUUUGUUGGCCGUUUUAUUUUAUGCAGAACAAACAACACACAAUAAAUGUCAAUUAAAAAUGAUAUUUGUAUAUUAUCGGGGCGGCAGUUGCUGCUUCUGCUGACCGCCAUAAAAAUGUGCUAUAAAAAAGUAACGGUGAAUGCUACGGUCUGCUGAAGUUCGUGUGUGGCUCGAAAACUAUUUCUGUGUAAGUUUUUUUUUAUAUGUAUGUAUGUGUGUGUCCGCUCAAUAGAAAGUUUUUGUUAAUAAAAAUGGCAGGCACACAAAAAAUGAAGAAGCAGAGAUAGAGAAGAAAAAAAAAACACUAAAAACUAAACACACAAAAUAUGUCGAAAUAUAACAACGAAAAAAAGAGUGAAUGAAAAAAUGUUGACCUAAUUUUUGAUGUGGCUGUGGCUGCUGCUGCCAACUUCGCUGCUGCUGCGCCACAUACUUUCCCACAGCUUCCCAGCAGCGUGUGAUCACAUCUCGCGGGAGCAGCGACGACAGCGGCGACGUCGGCAGCGGGCGCUCCCUUAGCACAGCCACAAAGGCAAACAACAGCUGGAACGACGUCUAAAUUAAUGACUGUUAAAUGAAGAUUGUUGCUUCCAGCAUUCCAAUGCGGCGCUGUUGUAGUUGUUGGCGCUCGCUCUCUCUCUCUCUCUUUCUAACUAACAGGGCGCGCCUGCGCAGCGCAAACUUUGAUUUUCUUCUUCUUCGAUUUUGUCUAUUACGUACACCUUUGAUUUCUUGGCUAUAUUUAGCGACUCCCUCCCCGGAUUCGAUAAACUCCCCUCGUUGAAUAGUUGCAGCUGUGAUCAGUUUAUUUUCUCUGAUUUUCUCAGCGCCACUAAUUGUGUGUGUGCUAUUUAUAUUAGAAACCAAAACCUUAAGAUGCUGCCCGAAUUUAGUCGCUGUCUACGAGUGUGUGUGUGUGUGCUUUUUUUGUGUUUGCUUGCUUUGCGCGUGUGAAAAUAUUUAGGCUACGCUCUUUGAAAGCUUUUGUUUUUUCUCGUAUUAGUUUUUUUUUUCUUUUUUCUUUGUGAUGUGUUAACUGACAGUCAAUAAUUGCGACUUGACACACAUAGAGUAAUCAUUAUGAUUGUUAUUACUAUUAUUAUUAUUAAAUAUGGCUUAGUUCCAGGUGCUAUGGUGAAUUAAUUGUGAGGUGAGUAUGCAAUCUAAGUAACUAAGUAUUUGUGUGUUGUGUACAUUCAAGGAAAACGAACUAAACUAA
Molecule: long non-coding RNA, 5172 nt
Organism: Drosophila albomicans
Lineage: Eukaryota; Metazoa; Arthropoda; Insecta; Diptera; Drosophilidae
Exons: 3
Source: RefSeq, a predicted model, not a curated record